CUUCCUAUCGCGCAUAAUUGAGUAGGAGUACUCUUCGUGCUGCUAUUCAUGCCCUAAGUAUUCCCCCUGGGGAGUCCGCACGCAUGUGUGAAACUCAAAGGAAUUGACGGGGGCCCGCACAAGCGGUGGAGUAUGUUGUUUAAUUCGAAGCAACGCGAAGAACCUUACCAGGUCUUGACAUGGCUCUAAAAGCCCUAUACAUAGGGUGCUAGUUAUAGAGCACACAGGUGGUGCAUGGUUGUCGUCAGCUCGUGUCGUGAGAUGUUGGGCUAAGUCCCGCAACGAGCGCAACCCUUGUCGUUAGUUACCAUCAUUAAGUUGGGGACUCUAGCGAGACUGCCGGUGACAAACCGGAGGAAGGUGGGGAUGACGUCCAAUCAUCAUGCCCCUUAUGACCUGGGCUACAAACGUACUACAAUGGCGAGAACAACGGGAAGCGAUGUGGUGACACACACCGUAUCUCUGAAAACUCGUCUCAGUUCGGAUCGAAGUCUGCUACUCGACUUCUUGAAGUUGGAAUCGCUAGUAAUCGCGGAUCAUCAUGCCGCGGUGAAUAUGUUCUCAGGCCUUGUACACCCCGCCCGUCAAACCAUGAGAGUUGGUAAUACCCGAAGCCAGUGGCCUAACCUGUAAGGGAGGGAGCUGUCUAAUGUACGAUCGAUGAUUGGUGUUAAGUCCUAAUCAGGUAU
This 689-nucleotide ribosomal RNA is filed under the name uncultured Clostridium sp. RNAcentral describes it as "bacterial SSU rRNA". It matches the Rfam family "Bacterial small subunit ribosomal RNA", at positions 800 to 1499 of the family's 1533-position model. Lineage: Bacteria; Bacillati; Bacillota; Clostridia; Eubacteriales; Clostridiaceae. The record is from RNAcentral.